UUCCAGCCUGGGUGACAGAGUGAGACACCCUGCCUCAUAAAACAAAAAAAAAAGAGGGAAUGGGGGGUGGGAUACAUAUUGGAUAUGUAUAUAUAGGACAGUUGUAGAAAAAUACUGAUUUUUUAGUGAUUUAACUUUUGACAGUCCUGUCCAUGGCAAAUUUUUCUACUUGAACACCUUGGCUAAUAAUACAAGUUUAAGAAAGCAUAUUAAACUUUUUUUUGAAUUCUUGAGAAAAUUAUAUACAUGUGACUAUUUUCCUUUAGAAUGACUACAAACUCUGAACCCUCUUAUUAGAUUAGAUUUAGGCUAUUAUGAUCUCUUUGGGACAUUUAUUCUAAAGGAGCUGGAAACUAUAGUGGCCUCUAUUUUUCCCAGGGAUAUAGAGAAGCUUAAGAUCUCCUCUUUCUGGAACUUACCCUGGGUGCUCAAUUUUAACUUUCUGAUUGGUUCAUUUUUGAGUUAGUAAAAAUAAUAAUAAUAAUAUUUUUGUUUGAAUUGCAAACAAAUUGUCUUUGCACAGUGAUCUUCAGAUCUUAAAAGAAAAACAAGGGAUAGGAGACAUUUUGCUUAUCUUUUAAGGUAUAUAUUGGGUGAAGGAGCAUUAUGUAUGGAACCUCUCACAAAACAGCUCCUACUUUCAAGAAUGAAAAAGGGCUGAAGCAGUGCCUACUCCAUAGAAUCAGUCAUCAUGCAAAUAAAUGCCACCUGAGUCAAAGGCAAAGCCAAAGUGCAGCUUGGAGCAAAGAAGGUACUUCUAUUAAGAAUUUUACAUAAACCGUAAGAUACAUUUUAUAUUACUUUGUGAGCCUACUUCCUGUCUUAAUUCUUUCUGAGAGAAUUCAUUUCAUUUUCAUUUGGUUUGUUUUCUCUUUGUUACAAAGAUGAUCUAUAGAAAAUAUAGAAGUAUAAGAAAAUUAAAGACACUGACUAAUAAUCACUUAAUGAUUUAGUAUCUGAUUGUUUAGUCUUUGUUAUAUUUACUAUAGAUAAACAUGUCUACAGUUGUAAAUUUAUUAUUGGUAUGUAUACCCUAGUAAAAGUUAUAUGUACUUUGAAGUUUUGCAAAAUUGUGUUCAUGUUAUAGAA
RNAcentral lists this long non-coding RNA (1089 nucleotides) under Papio anubis (olive baboon). RNAcentral describes it as "lncRNA (ENSPANG00000047653.1)". Lineage: Eukaryota; Metazoa; Chordata; Mammalia; Primates; Cercopithecidae. The record is from RNAcentral.